AAGAAACUGGUGGUUUAGCGCAUGUGCCCUGCGUCAGUGAACACAUGGUAAAAUAAAAUAGUGUAAAAAACCGGCUUCAGCUCGUUGACGACCGCAGUCCGUUCCUUUGGGCUUUGGAUGCUCUAAAUCUCCUCUGACAUCACCAAAUCGAAAACGCAAGCAAGCGCCAUCAUCCUCCUGUCAAUCAACGACUCCGAAAAUUGUCGCGGCAUUCUGCCCGUGCACUGCAACUGCAUACGCCCCGCCCCAAAGCCAAAAGUUCAUCGCUCCCUCCUCCCUUUUUCCUCCGCUUUCCCUUCGCCCUCCGCUGCGCACAUCCUCCCAACCUAAACCCGACGAAACCCCCAGCCGUUUCCAUCGCGAGCAGAGAGAUAGGGGGGAGAGGGAGGGGAUCCGGCCUCCAGGAUCACGCUCCCUCAUUGCGCUCCCCGCCGGAGCGGCGCGUGAGGCUCUCUCUCUCUCUCUUGCCCGGCGCGAUGGAUCAGGACGUGGACGACAGGGCGGCGGCGAGCGUGGCGGCGGCGGCGCGGUCGCUGCGGGCGGGGCUGGAGCGGUCGUGCGCGAUGGGGCAGGCGCUGACGCGCGGGGGGCCGCGGCUCGAGGAGAUCNNNNNNNNNNNNNNNNNNNNNNNNNNNNNNNNNNNNNNNNNNNNNNNNNNNNNNNNNNNNNNNNNNNNNNNNNNNNNNNNNNNNNNNNNNNNNNNNNNNNACCCCCUCCCCGCGGCGAGCCCCUCCCCACGGCGACCCCCUCCCCGCAACCCUCCCGUCACUGCGGCCCUCCUCCCCCACCACCACACAGUGAGUUCAUUCUCUUUCAUUUUUUCUUUUUUUCAUUUCAUUUCAUUUGUUAGUUUAGGUUACUGGCAGUGUCUAUUAGGUUAAUGUUAGUUUAGGUUAAUUAGGUUAGGUUAAUUAGGAGGAGAAAAAAGAAUGUUAGUUUAGGUUAAUUAGGUUAGGUUAAUUAGGUUAAUGUUAGUUUAGGUUAAUUAGGAGGAGAAAAAAGAAUAAUAAUAAUAGUAAUAAGAUGAUAAAGAAGAAGAACAAGAAGAAGAAGAAAAAGAGGAGAGAGGAGAAGAAGAAAGAAGAGGACCCCGACGCCCAACGCCACCAACCCCCGAUGCCCGAUGCCACCAACCCCCGACCCUCGACCCCCGACACCACUGACACCCGACUCCCGACCCCCGACGCCCGACACCACUAACCCCCGGCCCCCGAGACCCGACUCCCGACCCCCGGCGCCCGACGCCACCAACCCCCAACGCNNNNNNNNNNNNNNNNNNNNNNNNNNNNNNNNNNNNNNNNNNNNNNNNNNNNNNNNNNNNNNNNNNNNNNNNNNNNNNNNNNNNNNNNNNNNNNNNNNNNUAUUAUCUUGUCAAACUUUGGAUGUUUUGCAUGCCUUUUAUUUAUUUUCAGGGACUAACAUAUUAACUCAGUGCCAAGUGCCAGUUCCUGUUUUUUCCAUGUUUUUGACCCCUUCCAGAGGAGAUUUUGAAACGGAGUCCAAACGGAAGAAAAUCCCCGAAAAGAUUUUUUCUGGAACGGGAGAAGAUCGGAGGACUUGGGAGCCAAGCCAGAAGAGCCCCAGGUGCCCCACAAGCCCCCACCCCGCGGCCAAGGGGGCCGCGCCAUCCAGGCUUGUGGGCCCGCUGGAGGUCUCCUGACCUAGAUCUUGCGCCUAUAUACUCCCUAAUAUUCCCAAAAAAAUCAAGAGACGAUCGCAAUUACUUUUCCACCGCCGCAAGCUUCUGUCUCCGCAAGAUCCCAUAUGGCACGUCCUGGUGCCCUGUCGGAGGGGGAAUUCGGAUACGGAGGUCUUCUUCAUCAACACCAUGACCUCUCCGAUGAUGCGUGAGUAGUUCACCAUAGUCCUACGGGUCCAUAGCUAGUAACUAGAUGGCUUCUUCUCUCUCUUGGAUCUUCAAUACAAAGUUCUCCAUGAUCUUCAUGGAGAUCUAUCCGAUGCAAUCUUCUUUUGUGGUGUGUUUGUCGAGAUCCGAUGAAUUGUGGAUUUAUGAUCAAAUUAUCUAUGAAUCUUAUUUGAGUUUCUUCUAAUCUCUCUUAUGCAUGAUUUCAUAUCCUUGUAAUUCUCUUCGAGUUGUGGGUUUUGUUUGGCCAACUAGAUCUAUGAUUCUUGCAAUGGGAGAAGUGCUUGGUUUUGGGUUCAUACCGUGCGAUGACCUCACCCAGUGACAGAAGGGGUAGCGAGGCACGUAUCAUGUUGUUGCCAUCAAGGGUAAAAAGAUGGGGUUUUGAUCAUUGGUUUGAGAUUAUCCCUCUACAUCAUGUCAUCUUGCUCAAAGCGUUACUCUGUUCGUCAUGAACUCAACACACUAGAUGCAUGUUGGAUAGCGGUCGAUGUGUGCAGUAAUAGUAGUAGAUGCAGAAAGUAUCGGCCUACUUGUCUCGGACGUGAUGCCUAUAUGCUAGAUCAUUGCCUUAGAUNNNNNNNNNNGUGUUGUUGCCAUCAAGGGUAAAAAGAUGGGGUUCUCAUCAUUGGUUUGAUAGUAUCCCUCUACAUCAUGUCAUCUUGCUUAAAGCGUUACUCUAUUUGUCAUGAACUCAAUACACUAGAUGCAUGCUGGAUAGCGGUCGAUGUGUGGAGUAAUAGUAGUAGAUGCACAAAGUAUCGGUCUACUUGUCUUGGACGUGAUGCCUAUAUGCUAUAUCAUUGCCUUAGAUAUCGUCAUGACUUUGCGCGGUUCUAUCAAUUGCUCGACAGUAAUUUGUUCACCCACCGUAAUACUUGCUAUUUUGAGAGAAGCCUCUAGUGAACACUAUGGCCCCCAGGGUCUACUCCACACCAUAUUUUCAGCCUUACACUUUUUACUUCUUUGCACUUUCCGCCUUCAGAUCUCACUUUGCAAACAAUCUUGAAGGGAUUGACAACCCCUUUGAAGCAUUGGGUGCAAGCUUGUUNNNNNNNNNNNNNNNNNNNNNNNNNNNNNNNNNNNNNNNNNNNNNNNNNNNNNNNNNNNNNNNNNNNNNNNNNNNNNNNNNNNNNNNNNNNNNNNNNNNNCAUGGCAGCGGGGUCCUAAUGGAAACUACGGGAUAUUAAGGUUCUCCUUUUAAUAAAGAACCGGACCAACGCAUUAACACGCGGUGAAUACAAGAACUCCUCAUACUAUGGUCAUCUCCGGGAGUGGUUGCGACUAUUGUCAAUCCGGGGUUGCCGGGUCAUAACACAUAGUAGGUGACUACAACUUGCAAGAUAGGAUCUAAAACACACAUAUAUUGGCGACAACAUAAUAGGUUCAGAUCUGAAAUCAUGGCACUCGGGCCCUAGUGACAAGCAUUAAGCAUAGCCAAGUAGUAGCAACAUCAAUCUAGAACAUAGUGGAUACUAGGGAUCAAUCCGCAUCAAAACUAACUCGAUUACAUGAUAGAUCUCAUCCAACUCAUCACCGUCCAGCAAGCCUACGAUGAGAUUACUCACGAACGAUGAAGAGCAUCAUGGAAUUGUCGAUGGAGGAAGGUUGAUGAUGACGAUGGCGACGAUUUCCCCUCUCCGGAGAACAGAACGGACACCAGAUCUGCCCUCAGAUGAAGAACAGGAGGCGGCAGCGCCUCCAUAUCUAAAACGCGAUGAAACCUUCUCUCUGAUUUUUUUUCGGGCGAGACGGAAGAUAUAGAGCUGAGUUUGGGGGCGGUGGUGCCAUGUGGGCCCCACAAGCCCUCACGACGCGUCCUAGGGGGGUGGUCGCGGCCCAGGGGCUUGUGGCCCACUAGCACGCCCCCUCAGGUGGAUCUUUGUGCAGGUAUUUUUCUUUUAUUCCAGAAAAAUUCUCCGUAAAUUUUCAGGACAUUCCGAGAAAUUUUAUUUCUACACAAAAACAACACCAUGGCAAUUCUGCUGAAAACAACGUUAGUCCGGGUUAGUUCCAUUCAAAUCAUGCAAAUUAGAGUCCAAAACAAGGGCAAAAGAGUUCGCAAAAGUAGAUACGAUGGAGACGUAUCAGUGUGCAGCAAGGAUGAUUGUGAUAGAACAAAAAUAAAAGACUCCUAUAAUACACGACGCUCCAAGCAAAACACAUAUCACGUGGUGAAUAAAAAUAUAGCUCCAAGUAAUAUUACCGAUGGAUUGAAGACGAAAGAGGGGAUGCCUUCGUGGGGAAUCCCCAAGCUUAGGCUUUUUGGUGUCCUUGAAUUUAGCUUGGGAUGCGUUGGGCAUCCCCAAGCUUGAGCUCUUUCCACUCUUUAUCCCUUUGUCCAUGAGAACAUCACCCAAAACUUGAAAACUUCACAACACAAAACUUAAACAGAAACUCGUGAUAUCAUUAGCACAAGAAAACAAACUACCACCACUUUAGGUAUUGUAGCAAACUUGAUUUCUAUUUAUAUUAGUGUUAGAUUACUGUAUUAUCACUUUUCCAUGGCUAGUACCCCCCCCCCCCNNNNNNNNNNNNNNNNNNNNNNNNNNNNNNNNNNNNNNNNNNNNNNNNNNNNNNNNNNNNNNNNNNNNNNNNNNNNNNNNNNNNNNNNNNNNNNNNNNNNCUCAUCUCUUACAAAGGGAUUUCAUUUUUUUAACUUAUUUGAACUCCAUACUUUUUGUGUGUUCAAAAUGCACCAUUCAAAGGCACAUCACAAAAUUUCAACAAUUUCUGACUUCAUUUGGUAUUCUUCGUGCAUUUACUUAUUUUAUUUUUUGAGCUAGUUGACCCUGAAAUUGAAAAGCACUACAAAUGAACUNNNNNNNNNNNNNNNAUUUCGUGCAUUUACUUUUUUUUGAGCUAGUUGACCCUGAAAUUGAAAAGCACUACAAAUGAACUNNNNNNNNNNNNNNNNNNNNNNNNNNNNNNNNNNNNNNNNNNNNNNNNNNNNNNNNNNNNNNNNNNNNNNNNNNNNNNNNNNNNNNNNNNNNNNNNNNNNNNNNNNNNNNNNNNNNNNNNNNNNNNNNNNNNNNNNNNNNNNNNNNNNNNNNNNNNNNNNNNNNNNNNNNNNNNNNNNNNNNNNNNNNNNNNNNNNNNNNNNNNNNUCGUGUACAAAACGGACAAUCUCUCUCGAAGUAUCAGGGUUUCGAACGAGAACUCAUCUCUUACAAAGGGAUUUCAUUUUUUUGAACUUAUUUGAACUCCAUACUUUUUGUGUGUUCAAAAUGCCAUUCAAAGGCACAUCACAAAAUUUCAACAAUUUUUGACUUCACUUGGUAUUCUUCGUGCAUUUACUUAUUUAUUUAUUUUGAGCUAGUUGACCCUGAAAUUGAAAAGCACUACAAAUGAACUCUGAAAAUGUUUAAAGUUGGCAUACUAUCAUCAUUUCACCCACAUNNNNNNNNNNNNNNNNNNNNNNNNNNNNNNNNNNNNNNNNNNNNNNNNNNNNNNNNNNNNNNNNNNNNNNNNNNNNNNNNNNNNNNNNNNNNNNNNNNNNGCCAUAAGGAGUCGCCGUUGCCGCGCCAUAACCUCGAAGUUCCCCGUGUGAGCCAUGGAGGCCCGCCUCCACCUGCAAGUACUUCGCUCCGCCGAGCCUUAUCCGUGCGCCGCCGCUUUUCUGCAUCUUGUAGACGCAUCAUCCCCAGUCACUGUAGCUGUCACGUUGAUUUGAUCCAGAAGCUAUGCUCGAGCGCCGAAACGGGGGCAGCAAGCGGGCAAAGGUACGACCGCGGAGGCGGGUGGGUUGAGAUCGACAAUAGUGGUGGUUGAGGUCGGCCGCGGCGGCGAGUGGUGUGGCAGCGACCUGGGCACAUGCCAGGGUGGACCAGGGUCGACGCGAUGCGCUCGAGCGCCGCAACGGGGGUAGUAAGCGGGAAGAGGUACGGCCGCGGAGGCGGGUGGGUUGAGAUCGAUAGCUGUGGCGGUUGAGAUCAACCGCGGCGGCGAGUGGUGUGGCGGCGGCCUGGGCACAGGUCAGGGUGGCCCAGGGUCGACGGGAGGAGGCGAUGCGUACAGGUAUAAUUUUUGCAGCGAAUCAUUCUUUCCUUUUGCGUUGCAGAUAAAUGAUGGAGCGCGGGUUGGAUAACAAAAAUUACAGGGGCUUUUUUAUAAAAAUAUCGCGGUGGGUUUUCCGACGGAAGCAAUAACCGCUUUAUUAUUACUAGCAAAAGGGCUCGUGAGUUGCAACGGGAGAAAAAAAUAUCACACGCUUUUGAUCUUUUUAUAAUCAUUUUGAUUUAUUAAAAUAAUAAGCUAACUAACUAAUGUAGUCAGUCCUAUCCUAUUUUGUUNNNNNNNNNNNNNNNNNNNNNNNNNNNNNNNNNNNNNNNNNNNNNNNNNNNNNNNNNNNNNNNNNNNNNNNNNNNNNNNNNNNNNNNNNNNNNNNNNNNNAAGGGGGGUUUGCUUGCCUGACACGUCUGAAGAUAGCAAUGAGUCUUCGUCAAUGUCAACGAUCACAACGUCGGAAACAUCGUUUACCGGGAGGAAACAACACCGACAAACAAAAAAGAACAACAAUUACUUCACGGAAAUGCAACACUAUGAUGCAUUCUCAAGACAUGAAAUGAAAGGUGGCAGGGCAAAUGUGGCUAUCAUUUCUUAAGUUGAAGUUGGUUUGAAUUAGGAUUCAAACAUCACGUCAAGCCGGGUAUCUUUCCGGAUACCCUUUUAAUUGAUUCGACCUGAUGCUCAUAACAAAUUGUUUCAACAUGUAUGGAGUUAGUAUUUUGAGGUACUGAUUUGCAUUGACAAAUGUUUGAGCAUACUAAUUGAGGUGGAAUUCAAAUAAGUAUCAAUUUCCAACUCCAAACUAUUUAUUAAAUUUACCCUAUUCAUCAUUUUUCCUAUUUGGUGUUGUUAACUUUUUCAAACAUGCAUGAAAAUUCCAUAACCAGAUUCCUUGGAUUUUUCUGAUACUUUUUCGUAUAUAAAUUAUUUUCAUCCGAGUUAUAUUUUAAUUUCUAUGAUUUUUACAAGUUUUAGUAAUUUCCUGGAUUAAUUCUAUAAUUGAAAAUGAAUUACUGCGUCAGCACUGCAUCAGCAUUGCGUCAGCNNNNNNNNNNNNNNNNNNNNNNNNNNNNNNNNNNNNNNNNNNNNNNNNNNNNNNNNNNNNNNNNNNNNNNNNNNNNNNNNNNNNNNNNNNNNNNNNNNNNAUGGAGGCCCGCCUCCACCAGCAAGUACUUCACUCCGCCGCGCCUUAUCCGCGCGCCGCCGCCGUUCUGCAUCGAGCAGACGCAUCAUCCCCAGUCACUGUAGCUGUCGCGUUGAUUUGAUCCAGAAGCUGUGCUCGAGCGCCGAAACGGGGGCAACAAGCGGGCAGAGGUACGGCCGCUGAGGCGGGUGGAUUGAGAUCGACAACAGUGGUGGUUGAGGUCGGCUGCGGCGGCGAGUGGUGUGGCAGCGGCCUAGGCACAUGCCAGGAUGGACCAGGGUCGAUGCGAUGCGCUCGAGCGCCGCAACGGGGGCAGUGAGCGGGGAGAGGUACGGUCGCGGAGGCGGGUGGGUUGAGAUCGGCAGCGAUGGCGGUUGAGGUCGGCCACGGCGGCGAGUGGUGUGGCGGCGGCCUAGCACAGGCCAGGGUGGCCCAGGGUCGACGGGAGGAGGCGAUGCGUACGAGUAUAAUUUUUGCAGCGAAUCGAUUUUUCCUUUUACGUUUUAGAUAAAUGAUGAAGCGAUGGUUGAAUAACAAAAAUUAUAGGAUUUUUUUAUAAAAUGUCGCGGUGGGUUUUUCAACGGAAGCAAUAGCCUCUUUAUUAUUACUAGCAAAAGGGCCCGUGCGUUGCAACGGGAGAAAAAAAAUACCAUAUAAUUUUAAUAUUUUUAUAAUCAUUUUGAUUUAUUAAAAUAAUAAGCUAACUAACUAAUGUAGUCAGUCCUAUCCUAUUUUGUUGAGAAAUCAACCCGUCCAUUGUUAAUUCCACCAUGAUGAGAAAUUGAGCGGGACAAGCAAAGCAAAACAAAGAGGCUGCGUGAAUUGAUCAAUGGACUGUUAUCUUAUUUCACCCAUGGGGUAGAGAAAGUGGGAUCAGAUCACAAACUGAAGGUGGUGUUCCAUUCUCUGUCUCUACAGCAAUACAAUCUUACAUUCAAUGCAUUCAUUCAUCAGCAAACAAAUCCCUACAAAACAAAAUUUCUUGUCGGUGCUUGGCACACAGUUGGAGGCAUGGGGUGGGGAUCUCACCAGAUGACGAGUUCCUGUCGGAGGAGGGGAUACGAUGAGGGGAGCAAGGGUUAGGCGCAUCUAUCUGGCCAUAAGGAGUCGCUGUUGCCGCGCCAUAACCUCAGAGAUCCCCGUGUGAGCCAUGGAGGCCCGCCUCCACCAGCAAGUACUUCACUCCGCCGCGCCUUAUNNNNNNNNNNNNNNNNNNNNNNNNNNNNNNNNNNNNNNNNNNNNNNNNNNNNNNNNNNNNNNNNNNNNNNNNNNNNNNNNNNNNNNNNNNNNNNNNNNNNGAAGACUCAUUGCUAUCUUCAGACGUGUCAGGCAAGCAAACCCCCCUUGAGCAUAUUUAAAUAAACCCACUGCCUCGCUCCUGCUCUCUUUUACUGCAUUAGGACAAACACGAUUCAACUGUACAUGUUAUCGGUACUUGAACCCAUUCCUCUGCAUGACCUGAUUUUGUCACAGUAAAUAGUUGAAACCACUUAGCAUGAGUAGCAACUGCUUGCGCCUUGAUGUGCUUACUCAUCCAUGCUUGUUUACAAUGCCUGCUAUGCUUAGAGUUGUGUCGGGUCUGAUCCGUCUGAAUGAUGAAUAAGAAUGAUUGUGUUCAUGUCCUACAGUGUGAGAGUAAAGGUGUGAAUCUGAUUUGNNNNNNNNNNCAUGUUGGGUCUGAUCCGUCUGAAUGAUGAAUCGGAAUGGUUGUGUUCAUGUCCUACAGUGUGAGAGUAAAGGUGUGAAUCUGAUUUGGUAAAGGUAGCGAUGAGAGGCCAUGUAGGAGUACAUGGUGGGUUGUCUCAUUGGGACCGUCCUUAAGAACUGAAUUCUGUGUGUGUUAUCCAAGACAAGAUACUACCACACAUUGGGAUACUUAAUUGACCCUCUCGUCUUAUUAAUUGCCUAGAUCUCUGUCCAGGAGUUGCAAUUAGUUUCUGGUGUUUGUAGGAAAAGUGUUGGCGGCCGUGUUUAGCUCUGCCCGACGGGGUAGGCUUCACUACGGUAGAUACACAGUGGCACGGUGUACCAAGUGGCACCCGAAUGGUGGGCUUGGGAACCCUGCGCGCAUCGGUUGGGGCCGUAGAGGAAACCUCGGCCGGACUUCCUUGCGGGUUCAGUCUCAAAUAGGCGAUAAACCUGAACUAGGGUCUUGUGUGGUUAACGGUCGUGGCCGACACCCACGCCAGUGNNNNNNNNNNUAGUGGCACGAUGUACCAAGUGGCACCAGAAUGGUGGGCUUGGGAACCCUGCGCACAUCCUUUGGGGCCGUAGAGGAAACCUCGGCCGAACUUCCUUGCGGGUUCAGUCUCAAAUAGGCGAUAAACCUGGACUAGGGUCUUGUGUGGUUAACGGUCGUGGCCGACACCCACGCCAGUGCUUCCGCUUGAAGGUUGCCGAGAUGCAUGACGUGCAUAUGGUGAUAAGUGGUGGGAGCGUGUGUGAAGAAGUAUACCCCUGCAGGGUGAUUCAAUCUGUUCGAAUAGCCGCGUCCUCGGUUACGGACUACUUGGAAACAUUACGUGGUACAUAGACAAUUUAAAUGGAUACUCUAAAACAUGCAAGACAAGUGUGAGUGCUAUGGAAGGCCUUCUCGUAGGGAGACGAGAGUGGAUCCAUAGUGGUGUAUUGAAUUGGUGAAUAUGUGGACUCUUAUGCGCUAUCCCACCUCAAAGAAAGAACUUGUAGUCGUAGUACAGGUUAGCCAAGAGUGAAAGCUGGCUUGCUGCAAUCAAACCCCACAAUCCUUUCAUUGAAACAUGAUGCAUAUGUAGAUAGUUCUGAUGUAAGACUUGCUGAGUACCUUUGUACUCACGGUUGCUUUAUUUAUGUUUUUGCAGAGAAGUCUUAGACUCAUUAAAAGGUUCUACGCGAUGUGUUCGAUGUUGACCGGAAUAGCUUGGGAAUCCCAGACAGAGGUCUGGCUCCUUUGGUAGGGUCGUAGUAGCUCUUCAGGCUCUUCCAGCCACUUUUAGUAGAUGUCUGUACCCAGACAUGAUUUGCUUCCGCUUGUUGUUUGUAUGACUUGAGUGUCGUGUCACGAGACCCCUGUUUGUAAUAUCAUACUAUGUUGACUCUUAUGAGUCUUUAAUAAAUGCUUGAGUCAUAGAGUUAUGUUGUGAUGCCAUGUUGUAUCUACACAUUUCGCGCAUAAUGUGUGUAUGUUUGAAAUGCAUUAUAUGUGUGGGAUUCGACAUCUAGUUAUUUACCUUUAGUAGUACUCUUUACAGGGAAAUGCCUCUUUGUGAUUCCAUCGAGCCUUGGUAGUUUGCUUCUGCUUGCAACACAUUGAUUGACCGGCAUGUAUCCUUCUUUGCUGCUGUGUCUGUCCCCUCGGGGAAAUGUCACGCGGUGUAAUGGAGUCCUUGUAGCUUGCUAUGACUCGUCUGCACACGCUGAUGACCGACACCUGCUUUGCUGGGUUAUGUAUGCCUGUCNNNNNNNNNNGGUCCUUGUAGCUUGCGACGACUCGUUUACACACGCUGAUGACCGACACCUGCUUUGCUGGGUUAUGUAUGCCUGUCCCUGUACGGUUGUACCGCUGGGGUUUAUAACUAGUAAUGUCGACCCGGGUUCUUUGUCGUUUUAACGCUAGCAACAUAUUCAUAUACGUGAGCCAAAAGACGCAAACGGUCCCGGCCAAGGUAAGGUGGCAGCCGUGGAGUUUACCAUGCGUGAGGCCGCAGAGUGAUGUGAUGUGUUACAAGCUAGGUUCUUAUGACUUAGGAUCGGGGUCCCGACACAAGUGAAAGGCAGUAAUGACGAUAUAUGAUGAAGUGACUCAACCAGGAAAAGUUGGUAUGAACUCGAUCUAUUUUCCUUUCGUAAAUAUGACUAGCUCACUGUUCCUAGUUCAGCUUUGUUGUGAUAGAAACAUGUUUGCAAUGAAAACUUAGAGAUCAUAGUUGCUUAUGCCAUGCUUACUUAGCUAGGAGCUUAUAAUGGUUUGUCUUGGAUGCCAACAUGAAUGUUGAGAUGACUAUGAUGUAGUAUGAUAGGAUGGUAUCCUCGUUUGAAUGAUUCAAGUGGCUUGACUUGGCGCAUGUUUACACAUGUAGUUGAAAUAAAAUCAAUAUAGCCUCUAUGAUGUUCAUGUUCAUGGUGAUUUAUGUCCUACACAUGCUUGCACUCAAUGUUAGUUAAUGUCAAUGAAUUUUGAUGACUGUUGUCGCUCUCUAGUUGGUCGCUUCCCAGUCUUUUGCUAGCCUUCACUUGUACUAAGCGGGAAUACUGCUUGUGUAUCCACUUCCAUAAACCCAAAGUUGUUCCAUAUGAGUCCACCAUACCUACCUAUGUGCGGUAUCUACCUGCCGUUCCAAGCAAAUUUGCAUGUGCCACUCUCUAAAUAUUCAAGAAAUAUUCUGUUUUGCAUGCCCGAACCGCUCAUGUGGUGACAGGGGGCUAUCAAUAUCUUCCAUGCUAGGCGUGUUAUCCUCGAUAUGUGUUUAUUCACUAUCAUUCACGAGAAAGGGGCCGGUAAUUGGAAUUCCCAGUUCCAUGCUCAAAUCGAAAAGAUAAUUGCAAACAAAACUCCCCCAGGAUUGAUCUUGGUAUGGACGGUACCCGAGGAUUCGGCAAGCCGUGGAGUGUGAUUGAUUGGUGGUGGGGGAGUCAAAACUUUACUUUUCUGUUUGGGAACCGCCUAUAGCAUGUGUAGCGUGGAAGAUGUUGAGAACUCUUAGUCAUUGCAUUGACAAUGAAAGCAUGCCACCCAAAAUUAUUAUCUCUGUUUUCAAAGCUUGAGCUCUGGCACCUCUGAAAAUCAAUGCUUCCCUCUGCGAAGGGCCUGCCUAUUUAUGUUCCUGUUGAGUCAUCCUCCUCUUACAAAAGCACCAAUUAGAGAGCACCUCUGUCAUUUUUAUGCUUUGCUUUUAACUGUGUUGAGUAUGACUGUGACUGGAUCUUCUUUGCCAUGAAAUACAAUGUUUAGUCAGCCCUUGGUCUUUGAAGGUGGUCUGCAUUUAUGUUUUGCGGUCUCAGAAAGAGCUAGCGAGAUACCAUCUAUUCGUACUCCUUCAUAUUGUUUUGAUUGAAGUGUUGCCAUUUGAGGCUUAUUAUUAUUUGCUCGCUAGUUGAUUAUGCCAUUGAUAUGAGUUUACCGUGAGACCUAGAUGUCAUUUGCUUAUGUGGUUUGCUUGUGAUCUUGCUGAAACUCUGGAUAUGAGUUAGACAUAGUUGCAACAACAAGAUCAAACAGAGUUCGUCAAAGUUUUUCUUUUGUCUCUUUGAGUUUGUCAACUGAAUUGCUUGAGCACAAGCAAGGCUUUAAGCUUGGGGGACUUGAUACGUCUCCGUUGUAUCUACUUUUUCGAACUCUUUUGUCCUUGUUUUGGACUCUAAUUUGCAUCAUUUGAAUGGAACUAACCCGGACUAACGCUCUUUUCAGCAGAAUUGCCAUGUUGUUGUUUUUGUGUAGAAAUAAAAGUUCUCGGAAUGUCCUGAAAAUUUACGGAGAAUUUUUCUGGAAUAAAAUAAAAAUACAUGUGCAAAGAUCCACCGGAGGGGAAGUGCCAGUGGGCCACAAGCCCCUGGGCCGAGGACACCCCCCUAGGCCGCGCCGUGAGGGCUUGUGUUGCCCACAUGGCACCACCGCCCCCAAACUCAGCUCUAUAUCUUCCGUCUCGCCCGGAAAAAAAUUAGAGAGAAGGUUUCAUCGCGUUUUACGAUAUGGAGGCGCCGCCACCUCCUGUUCUUCAUCUAGAGGGCAGAUCUGGAGUCCGUUCUGCGCUCCGGAGAGGGGAAAUCAUCGCCAUCGUCAUCAUCAACCUUCCUCCGUCGACAAUCCCAUGAUGCUCUUCAUCGUUCGUGAGUAAUCUCAUUGUAGGCUUGCUGGACGGUGAUGAGUUGGAUGAGAUCUAUCAUGUAAUCNNNNNNNNNNGUGCGUGAGGCCGCAAAGUGAUGUGAUGUGUUACAAGAUAGGUUCUUAUGACUCAGGAUCGGGGUCCCAACAGCUUUGGUAUCAGAGUUUGACUGCGUGUAGGAUAACCAAGCCAAACUGGUCGAUGUUGUGUCUAGAAACUCUUUAGUUAUAUAAGGGAAUUGUUUGUGGAAGGGAAUGUAAGGCUCUUUUUACUCCUUUCCGUGUGUCAUUCUUAUUCUGAGUCACCCUCUUCUUUAUUCUACGGGGUUUAAGAAUUAGGCUUCUCAUCUAUUCAUUAGGAUGACGAGUUACUAUGUUGAAGACUUAUAGAGAAGUUGUUGUCUUCCUCGAUCAGUGUCUCCAUAAGAAUUCAAUUGUUAUAUUGUUAGUUUUCUUGCAGGUUGCCUCAUAUUUCAUGCCUGUACAGCCGUUAUGCUGUCCGAGUUUUCCAAAGUUCCCAAAUAGUCUGAUGCAAUUGCAAAUUUCCUCCUCAUGAGCUAAUGUCUUUUGGCCAGACAACGCACACUAAUAAUUGUGUUGAGGAACUUUAUUACCUCGAUAUUCUGUUGAAGUAUUAGGAAAAACAUGUUACUCCGAAAACUACCCAAUAGUCUAGAUGUGUGCUAUGUCUUCCAGUGUGAUAGUUCUGGCCAUCAUUUUCGAAAAACAUCUCGUGAUGUUAAAUAGCUUGUAGGUACUCUAUUUCUGGGCCUUUGAAUCCAAGGAUCAUUCUGCUCAUCUCUGUUGAUAGUGUUGCUAGUUCCUUUAGAAUGAUUAGUAACCUUGUUGUAAUCCUGAAGGUGCGUGGUAUAUCAUUCUUCCAAUACCAUGGACCAUCUCUGUCAAAAGUCCUUCGUGAACUAAAGAUCAUAAUAAGAGUGCUCGUGAUGAGUUCUCCACUCCAUAUUGUGAUUCUGCCUAUUCCGCUCUUCUGCAUGGGUUAUCUGGAAGAAUUAUGUUGAACUCGUUCGACAUUCUAAUCCAUGCAUCCAUAACUCAAGAAAUCAUGUGCUCUUGAGCUGACCCUAUCUAGUUGUAUUUUGACCUUCAUCAUUGAAAGGAUAGUCAAGAGUAGUUGUGCAUUCAUGUCAUCGAUGUCUUCUAUUUUGUGGUCUGUCAAGUUGUUCUAUUCUCGAAAGACUGGGAGAAGCAAACUCCAGUACCACCUCCAUUUCUUGGAUUUGGUCAAAGUAGUUGUAUUUCACAGAUCGAAAUGCUAAACCAGCUUUUGUUCUGUUCUAUCUUGGAGUAUUACCCUCUUUUUGUCAAGAGUGUUAUGAGAAUUGCACCAUCUCUUAUGAGCUCUUGAUGCAGCGAUACUUCUCGCUAUCAUUGUUCAUCCCUCGGUUUUCGUGUUGGUUGUAACCGGAAUAUCGACAAGUGAACCAUGACGUGUGAAAUCAAUACUCCUAGCAAUGCUAUUGCUUGGUAGCUAAUGGAGAAUAAUUUCACUCUUAUGGUGAUGGUGAUUGAAUCGUCAUUCUAAGAUUGACCGUGCUACCUAGUCCAUGUUUCAUGGUGCACCUUUUGAUCAAUGAGUUAGGAUUUUGUCAAUCCCUCGUUCUAUUGAUCACAUCAUCUUGCACUGAAAAGCAAGAUUGUUCUCGAGCUUAAUAAUAUACGAUGGUUCGUGAUUUUCCGAAUAUCUUCUUGGAAGUAUUACCAGGUUGUUUCCUGACUGUUAUGAUAGAGCUCGUGAUCAAGUUGGUUUUUCUAUAAACCAACCCCUUCUCCAAGAAUCUGUAUUGGAUACCCCGAGCUAGUUGGUUAACCUAAACAACAACUUGGAGAGUUGGAAGAUAAAAGCUUCGCCUAAACUCAACUCAUUUAAAAGGGAUAUCUUUCUGUUGUGUGAGUCUGAAGAAAGAUGAUAUUUUCAUCGGUUGAUUCGUGUGAUCAAUUGUUGCAUAUAUUAUCUUGUUCAAUUUUGAUUUGAGCAUGGGCUAUCGUUGAAUCAAACUCAGAACCAAAGAUUUUCGUAGCGGUGUUUUACUCAUGGAUUUUCUCUGAGCAUACACCAUUAUACUCUUUGAUCUGACCAAUGCUAAUAUCUUGCUCACAUAGUUAUGGAAAUCCAUUUAUAUGGGUAUCUUGAUGAAUUGUUGUUGAGCCCAUCGGCAACAUUCUAAUUUGUUCCAUGAUCUAUGUUGGACAUUAAGCUAGUGCUGGAAACUUUGUAGACAUUGUCUUCGUGUCUCGAACACGAGGUAUAUGUUAGGUGUAAGAAGUGACUUCCUCUAAUUCAUGUGCAUUGGUGCAAGUUGCUGCCACGAAAUUGGGAAGGUCGUUUUGUUAUCUCCAGAAUCAUCCCAAAUCAGUCAUGCAUGUGCGAAGUAUGCUGUGGUUUCAUAGCUUUGCAACCUCUCUCUCCAUAUGUAUUUCCUAGCACACCAAGCCACUGAUUGAUUUGUUCAAGGAAAAGAAGUUAAGUGCCAUCCCUGAAGGUACCAGACGGACUUGCACAUGGCUUCGUUAUCCGCAAUGAUGGUUCCCAUCCAGAACUCGGUAGUGUUUUGUUACAAGAGUUUUCAUGUGUUCACAGUUGUCUUGGGCAGUGUGUUCAUGUGGGUCUUGCGAUCCAGCUCAUGUUUUGGAGUUGUCUUCCGUAGUUCAUUUCCUGAGAAUCUCGCAACGUUAUCUCGUCGAUUUGUGUUGCAAACUUUCUUUUUGGACAUGCUGAGUCUGAAGCAUCGUGGCACCAACCGGAGCUGAAUCUCAGGCAGUUAUAAUGGUUGGAACUUCCCCAAGAUUUAUAAUAUUGGUCUCUAUGUAACCCGGUAAAGUGGUGAAAUGGCUAACACACCUAGCCGGAAGCUUGAUAUUAUAAUAUCUUGCAUCAGCAAUCUUAGCCAUCUUCCGUGUGGUUUUUGUAUGACCUAUUUUAUAAGUUGUUCCUCAUGGAUUCCCUUUGGUCCCGAAGUCCGACCUAUACUUGAUGCGCUAGAUAUCAAGCACGAUCUAUAAUUGGGUUGUGCUAGUACAUCAAGGAGAACAUUAGAAGCGGAGUGCUAAAUGUCUCUCGGUCGAUCAACCAGAUUUCGUUCCCUUGGCACAGCUAAGGUGAAAUCUGAGGAAUUGUUGUCUUCCUUUGCAUUUGCAUCCUCCAUCACUAUUCAUCAUGGUAGUAUGUUAUGUCACCAGGAUCCUUGGCACGGAUGUUGGUAAAACUUUGAUGAAUAUGGGAAUGCUCAAGUUCUUGAGAGCACGCUCAGACACUAGGUUAUAUCCUCGGUAAAAAUUGGAUUGUGCCUUCCGUUUGCCGAGUUGUUCUAUAACUCUAGUUUCUUUCAAACUGAGUAUGCCAUUCUUUCAAAUUCCUCCAACAAUUAUUGCCUUACCCUGGUAUGAAGAGUUUCAAUGAUCUUGGGAUCAAAAGUAAUUCUUUUUGCCACUUAAAGGAAUAUCUCUGUGAGUCACCUUCCUAAGGUGCCCCGUUAUGAUACGAAUGGCAAUUUAAUCCUCGCUACUUUGAAACCUCGUCACCAUCUGAUUUAAGCAUGGAUUUGUUGCCUACCAAUUGAACCUUUGUCUUAUGCCUCAUUUUCUCAUCCGUGUUACGUGUUGUGUCUCAGCUCAAGGGACGUUCCUAUGUCUCAUUCUAUGAGUUGAUCUUGAGUUGCUCGAUCUUCGAGGAGAUCGAAUCUUAUGUCGUCUCUAUGUUCUUUUGUCGCCAAACUAGAUGAAGACCUCAAGGACAAAGAUGUCAAGAUCAACAUGGUACGAUGAAUCAACAUCCUCGAGAGAAGCAAAUGGAUCAUGAAGAUUGUGAUAGUUUAGUGUCCCCUCUUCCUCCUCCCGACUACGCCUGAAUCUCGGGACGAGAUUCUUGUUUAGUGGGGGUGAGUUGUCACAGCCCUAGAUUAUAUCUUGUAGUUAGUUGCAUCAUUAAGNNNNNNNNNNACAUGAAACCAUCAAAAAUUAUAGAUACGUUGGAAACGUAUCAUCGUCCGGUAGAAAAGUAUCCCGGAGCUGGUUAUUUCCCUCCUUGGGAGUAGACCAACUUAGGCCAAAAGCCUAAGCUUGGGGGAGUACGUGUUCUCAUCGACUUUACAUUCUUGCUUAUGCUUUCACAUUGUUAGCCGAUGUUCACACUUUGCCACUGUAUCAUCCAUGCUAGUUUAUUUUAUUUUUCUCGUUUUCUUUUCGUGUGUCUGUCUAGUUUGAGAAAACCCAAAAAUAUUUUUUCUUCUUCUUUUGCUUGUUGGGAGCUUUCCCGUGUAAAUAGUUUUCUUUUUCUUUGGUUCAAUGUAGAAGAUAUUGGUUACAAUGUUUAGUGGCUCUUGCAUGCAUACCUGUUUAGCUUUCAAAGAGCCAUAUUGCUUUGUCUUCUCCGUUGUGUUUGGCUGCAGAUUCUAGCUUUAGUCCAAUGCACGAGCACUCUUAUUAUUGUUCACAUCAUUCAGUCGUGCAAGUUGUCACAGCCCUAGAUUAUAUCUUGUAGUUAGUUGCAUCAUUAAGCAUUCAUGAAUGCAUUCAAAUCAAUUUUAUUCAAAUUGGAUGAUUUACAAAUGGGGAUGACUAAACUCUAACACCAAACAACAUUGAAAUAGGUUCAACAAGAGAAAAAUCCUAGCUACUCUAUAUUCAAAACAAAACCCUAGCAACUCUAUAUGCAAAACAAUUCAAAAGUGGUGAUAAAUCGAUGAACCAAAAUGGUUUCAUAAAAGUCCAUCAUUUUUGAUAAAUGUUGGAAAGAAAAUAUCAGGGGUGAUAUAUAUUUUCAAAAUACUUUUGGCAUUUUAGUUUAAACUCAAAACCCACUGAAAUCAAUUAAUUAAUUGAUUUCAAAUACUUCCUAGUUUUAUAAAAUGUUGAAACUAUUUUGUGGCAUUGAUCAUUUUUUUACUACUGUCACAUAAUACUAUUCUAGGAUUUUAUAAAAUGAUUAAAUGUUUUAUUAAAAUCCUAAACCUAAAAUGCCAGAAAGAAAUAAAAAAAAACAGAAACAGGAAAACAGAGGGAAGUCCUUACCUGCGCUCACCUGAAGCGGCCCAGCCCACGAGGGGCACCGCUGUCUUCCUCCUCCUGCGAGGAGGAGAAGCAGCUGCGUGCCCGACGCAUCGCCAGGCACCGCCACGUCCCUUGGCCACCUCCUGCUCGCCCCCGUCCUUAUCCCCUCGCCAUGGAUGCCCUAGACCCCCCCUCGAGCUCAUCCUCCUCUCCUCUCCCCAGUUUCCCCUUCUCUCUCUCUGCUUUCCCUCGUUGCCUCCAUGGCCGAGCUAGAGCUCAAGCUCGCCUCUGUGGUCUCCGGCCUUCCCUCGCCUCUCCGAGAAGCCUAGAAGGACCGCCUCGACGCCCUGUUCCUCCUCGCCAUUGGAAUCGAGCCCGAACGACCCCUAUCGUCGCCAUCGCCGUUGUCAUCCUCACCUCCGGCCGCCGGCCCCCUUCCGUCGAUUCACCGCCUCUGGCGCGCCCCCGACCUCGCCACCGGUGCCACGAGGUCCGCAGUGAGUCCCUCUAUCCAUUCCCCUCCUUCCCCAUCGAGCUUCCCUCCUCUAUAUCCCUCUUGCCGCCGGAGCCCGAGCUCCCUGCUGUCGGCAAUGGCCGUCGCGGCAGAGCCUCUCUCUCGCCCGUUUGGGGGUGCCGGCGUGCUCCUAGGGACCCGUAGGUGCCGCCCCGGCCCCCAGUUCCUCUUCCCGCAGCCUCUGGAGACGAGCCCGAGCUGGCCGAGCUCCGGCCCCCGCCCCGUCGUUGCCGUCGUCGUCUCCGGCGACCCCCCUCGCCUCAAAACCCCCGGAAUGGAUGCGGGCGAGCUCGGGCUACGCCCUAGUGGCCUCCUGUGUCGCUGCCAUGGCCGGAGUCGUGGACUCCGCCGCAUGCAGUGGUCGCCGGCGUUGAACCUCACCGGUGAGCCACUGAACGAUGGGUCCACAUCAUCAGGUGAUUAGCUUAGAGCUAAUCACAUGUUAGUUUAACCCAGAGCCAAUGACAGACGGGCCCCACUUCUAAUUAAGUCAUUAGUUAGCUAAAAAAACCUGUUAUUAAACUGAGUCACUGACGUGUGGCCCCCACACGUCAGGUUUGACUCUGACCAAGCCAGUUGACAGCUGACGCAAUGCUGAUGCAGUGCUGACGCAGUAAUUCAUUUUCAAUUNNNNNNNNNNCCCUGUUAUUAAACUGAGUCACUCACGUGUGGCCCCCACACGUCAGGUUUGACUCUGACCAAGCCAGUUGACUGCUGACGCAAUGCUGAUGCAGUGCUGACGCAGUAAUUCAUUUUCAAUUAUAAAAUUAAUCCAGGAAAUUUCUAAAACUUGUAAAAAUCAUAGAAAUUAAAAUAUAACUCGGAUGAAAAAUAAUUUAUAUAUGAAAAAGUAUCAGAAAAAUCCAAGGAAUCUGGUCAUGUCAUUUUCAUGCAUGUUUGAAAAAGUUAACAACGCCAAAUAGGCAAAAUGAUGAAUAGGGUAAAUUUAAUAAAUAGUUUGGAGUUGGAAAUUGAUACUUAUUUGAAUUCCACCUCAAUUAGUAUGCCCAAACAUUGGUCGACGCAAAUCAGUACCUCAAAAUACUAACUCCAUACAUGGUGAAACAAUUUGUUAUGAGCAUCAGGUCGAAUCAAUUAAAAGGGUAUCCGGAAAGAUACCCGGCUUGACGUGAUGUUUGAAUCCUAAUUAAAACCAACUUCAACUUAAGAAAUGAUAGCCACAUUAGCCCUGCCACCUUUCAUUUCAUGUCUUGAGCAUGCAUCGUAGUGUUGCACUUCCGUGAAGUAAUUGUUGUUCUUUCUUGUUUGUCGGUGUUGUUUCCCCCCGGUAAACGAUGUUUCCGACGAUGUGAUCAUUGACAUUGAUGAAGACUCAUUGCUAUCUUCAGACGUGUCAGGCAAGCAAACCCCCCUUNNNNNNNNNNNNNNNNNNNNNNNNNNNNNNNNNNNNNNNNNNNNNNNNNNNNNNNNNNNNNNNNNNNNNNNNNNNNNNNNNNNNNNNNNNNNNNNNNNNNUUAGGAGUCUUUUCUUUUUGUUGCGUCACAAUCAUCCUUGCUGCACACCUUUUUGAGAGAGAGAGACAUGCACUCAUCGUGAUUUUGCUAGAAUGCUCAUAGUGCUUCACUUAUAUCUUUUGAGCUAGAUACUUUUGCUCUAGUGCUUCACUUAUAUCUUUUGAUCUAGAUACUUUUGCUCUAGUGCUUCACUUAUAUCCUUUGAGCUAGAUAACUUUUGCUCUUGUGCUUAACUUAUAUCUUUAGAGCAUGGCGGUGUGUGAUUUGGUAGUUGGCUUAUGCUAUGAAAGUAGUCCCAAAUGUGCUAGGUACCCAAAGAGGAUGCAAAAAACCUCCAUCUUCAUGUGCAUUGAAUAGAAAGUGAAGUCUUGAUUCCUCUCAAUUAGUUUUGAGACAUGGAUUCGGUAAUAUUGAGGGUUAUGUUAGUAGGGUGUUUUGAAUCUAGAGAUACUUGUCUUGGAGUUAGUUAUUCUCGUAGCAUGCACGUAUGGUGAACCGCUAUGUUAGGAAGUCGGAGCAUAAUUGAUCUAUUGAUUGUCAUCCUUUGUGCUGCGGUCGGGAUGGCGCGAUGGUUAACACCUACCAACCCUUCCCCUAGGAGUAUGCGUUUAGCACUUUGUUUCGAUUACUAAUAAAAACUUUCGCAACAAGUAUGUGAGUUCUUCAUGACUAAUGUGUGUCCAUGGUAUAGAUGCACUUUCACCUUCCACCAUUGCUAGCCUCUCUAAUGCCGCGCAAUUCUUGCCGGUGCAUAAACCCACCAUAUGCCUUCCUCAAAACAGCCACCAUACCUACCUACUAUGGCAUUUCCAUAGCCAUUCCGAGAUACAUUGCCAUGCAACUCCCACCGUUCGUCUCAUGACUUAUGCCGUCACUCUCAUAUUGCCAUUGCAUGAUCAUAAGAUAGCUAGCAAGAUGUUUCAACGUCAUACGCCAAGCUAGAUCGUUGCACAUCCCGGUACACUGCCGGAGGCAUUUUCUAGAGUCAUCAUCGUUCCGAGCUUUGAGCUGUGAGUAAAUAAAAGUGUGAUGAUUAUAAUUAUUGGAGCAUUGUCCCAUGUGAGGAAAUUAAAAAAAGGCCAAAGAACCCAAAAAUAAAAAAAGAGGCCCAAGAGUCCAAAAAAAGAGAAAAAGAGAGAAGGGACAAUGCUACUAUCUUUUUCCACACUUGUGAUUCAUAAAAGCACCAUGUUCUUCAUGAUUGAGAGCCUCUCGUUUCGUCACCACCAUAUGCUAGUGGGAAUCUAUUAUAUAACUUUGCUUGUAUAUUCCAAUGAUGGGCUUCCUCAAAUUACCCUAGGUCUUCGUGAGCAAGCAAGUUGGAUGCACACCCACUAGUUCUCCUUUUGAGCUUUCACAUACUUAUAGCUCUAGUGCAUCCUUUGUAUGGCAAUCCCUACUCAUUCACAUUGAUAUCUAUUAAUGGGCAUCUCCAUAGCCUUUUGAUAUGCCGAGUCAAUGUGACCAUCUCCUCCUUUUUGUCUCACAACCACCACCACACUCUAUUCCACCUAUAGUGCUAUAUCCAUGGCUCACGCUCAUGUAUUGCGUGAUAGUUGUAAAAGGUUUGAGAAAGUAAGAGUGCAAAAACAAUUACUUGGCCAAUACCGGGGUUGUGGAUGAUUUAAAUUAGUUGUGUGGGGAUGAUGGAGCAUAGUGAUACGUCUCCAACGUAUCUAUAAUUUUUUAUGGUCUCAUGCUAUUAUCUUGUCAAACUUUGGAUGUUUUGCAUGCCUUUUAUUUAUUUUCUGGGACUAACUUAUUAAUCCAGUGCCAAGUGCCAGUUCCUGUUUUCACCAUAGAAUAGAAGUUCAUAAAUUGCUUCAACUCUUCCAUAAUACUCGGUGCCUCCUUCCCGGUAGCAGAGACAGAAAAAAUUGUAGUCUUUAGGUCGGGCAUAGAUAGCUCUUUGCCAAAGGUACGAAAGUGAUACCUGUUGAUGUUGUAUUUGUCAAAUGAACGGACCUUAUAGUCAAAACCAUUAGCGACUUGUCUCAACUCGGCGUCCAUAGACUCUGCAUCAGCCUACAAGUUUAAUACGAAAGAGUGGAUGCAUUAGCCACAAAUUAGACCAAGAAAUCAAAUGGGCCCUUAAUGGUAAUUAAUUACCCUUUGUUUGAACCAAGAGAUGAAACCGGGAUAGUCGCCUCCAUGCUUUGCGAGAAGCUCAUACUCUUCGACGGAAUCCUUUUCGAUGACCGCUCCAUCCGAGAAUUCGGCGAUGUAUCGGCUAUAUCAAAUAUCCGGGAAUAAGAGUAGUUCAAAGCAAUUAGAAGUUGCGGACCAAUAAUUUACCGAGAACUUACUCGAUGUACGGUCGCACUUCUGUUAGGUUGGUGAAGAUAUACAAUGAAAUGGUCCGCCAUUCUUCGACAUCCAACGAUUUCCCUUUCGAAGCACCGGAUGGUGCGAGCUUACCUUUGAAUAGGCUGAGGUUGGAUCGAUUUUUUUGGAUCGCCAUCAUUGUACCGAGGCUUCGGGUUAUGCAAAUGAUGAUUUUUGGCUUCGUAGUGUGCUGUCAUGAAGUUUUUCGCCUCCUCAGUAAUGAAUGCAUCGGCCAUCGAUGCUUCAAUUCUACGUUUAUUUUUACACUUAGCACGAAGCGUCUUCUGCAUCCUCUCAGUUGAGUAGCACCAUCGAUUUUGAACGGGCCCCCCAUUCUUGCCUCGGUCGGGAGAUGCAAAAUCAAAUAUUGCAUUGGAUUAAAGAAGCCCGGUGGAAAGAUCUUUUCUAAUUUGCGGAUCAACUCCGCCGACAACUCUUCCAUUGCAUCUAGCACGCCAGGCGAUAGUUCUUUCGCACAAAGAGAAUGGAAGAAAUAGCUCAGCUUUGCCAGUACUAGCCAUUCAUCCUCAGGGAUAAAGCCACGCAACAUCACCAGCAUUACCCGCUCAAUCCAUAUGUGCCAAUCAUGACUCUUGAGACCAAAUAUUUUCAAAUUCUCAAGACUCGCUCCCCUCUUUAGAUUCACAGCAUACCCAUCGGGGAACAUCAAUCGCAUUUUCACCCACAAUAGCAUUUCCCUCAUAGCUGGCCUUUCAAGAUUGAACCAUGCCUUUGGCUUCGCUAUGCUUUGCUUUCCUUUCCGUUGUCGCAAGUUUUGCAACGGUUUAUCACAUAGAGCCUCCAGGUCGAUUCUAGCCUUAGGAUUAUCUUUUGACUUCCCCUCUAUGCCGAACAAUGUACCAAAAAUGGCCUCCACAAUAUUCUUUUCAGUGUGCAUCACGUCGAUGUUGUGUGGGCAAAGGAGGUCUUUGAAGUAAGGCAGAUCCCAUAAGCAUGACUUGUGAGUCAAGGCGUGUUCCGUAUUAUACCCUUUGAAGUAUCCUAGAUGCAAAGGAUCAGGCUCGAGAGCGUUUAAUUGAUCAAGGGUCUGUUGGCAUGUCAACGCAGCUGGUGCAGUGUUUUUGACAACUCUACCUUUGAUGAAAUUCUUCUUGUCUUUUAUGAACUUAUGGUUAGGAUCCAGGAAUUGUCUAUGCAUGUCGAAGCAAGAAAACUUGCGACCAGCCUGCAGCCAACGGAACUAAAGAGCUACCUUGCAUGUGGUGCACGGGAACCUUCCAUGCACACACCAGCCAGCGAAUAGCGCAAACGCCGGAUAAUCAUGCGUCGAGUACAUGUACCACACAUGCAUUUUGAAAUUUGUUUUGGUAGCCGCGUCGUAGGUCUUGAUCCCAUUAUCCCAGGCUUCUUGCAACUCAUCCUUAAGCGGCUGCAUGUACACAUUCAUAUUCUUCCCCGUAUAGUUGGGCCUUGGAAUUAUCAACAUUAGGAAAAUGUUCUUUCUUUUCAUAAUCUCUCCGGGUGGCAAAUUGAGUGGAAUGACAAAUAUAGGCCAACAAAUAUAUUGUGCUGCCGUCAUACCAUACACAUUGAACCUAUCCGUGCUGAUGGCAACUCUAGGUUUCCUUGGAUCUUUCGAUUUAUCCUUAUGUAAUGCAUCGAAGUGCCUCCAUGCAAAACCAUCUGAAGUGUGUACCAGAAUCUUGUUCCCAUCCGCAUCUAGUUCGGUUCUUUUGCCCAAUUUGUGCCAUGUCAUCUAUCUGGCCGUCUCUUCGACCAUGAAAAGACGUUAAAGUCUUGGUACGAUUGGCAGAUACCGAAGAACACUAAUGGGGAUUUUGGUCUGAUUCUUCUCACCCAUACCGUUGUCUACCACAAUAUACCUGGAAAAAUUGCAAAUGGGGCAAUAGUUCAAGGCCGCAUACUCAAGCCUAAAUAGGGCACAUCCAUUCUCACAGGCAUGUAUCUUCUCAUAGGGCAUCUUAAGUACACGGAGGAUUUUCUCUAACAGGUAUAGGUUUGCAGGCAGUACAUGGCCUUUGGGUAGAAAGCGUCCAAAUAUCGUCAUCAUCACAUCAUAGCAUUCUCUGCCAAGGUUGAAUUGAGCCUUCAGAGCCAUUACUUGCGCGAUGGCAUCCAGCUGCCAAAGCUUAGUAUGCUAGUGGAGAGGACGUUUUGAAGACUCCAACAUUUCAUAGAAGGCCUUUGCAGAUUCCUCCAUCUCAUCGUCCGAAUCCGAGCAUCAUCAAAGUCUUGCACCAUGUCUUCAAUCCCGGUACCAUGCUCGUCGGUGCGACGACGAAUCACCUCAGCUCUGCCAUGUUGGUCAGACUCACCAUGAAAAGUACACACCGUAUAAUUAGGCGUAAAACCCCACUUCUGCAGGUGUUUACCCAUUUCAAACUCUGUCUACUUUUUCUAGUUGUCGCAGUUGGGACAGGGGCACCAUGUUUUUUGCUGGCCAUUUGCAAAUGCGGCUCUCACAAACCCCCUGGUUUUUGUUAACCAUUCAUGGGUCAUGUCUUUCUGACUAGGGUGGCCAGUGUACAUCCAAGCACGACCACUCAUGUUGCCUAGCUACCUAUGGGCGCACAAGAAAUAAAUAUAUAAUUCAUCAUCUAUAUUCAUACGCUAAUCAAGUUUGUCAGCUUUAUUAUGUCCAUGCAACCUACACGCUAAUAGGUAAAGAUAGGUCCUAAUCCCACCCGAGUAUGUGUAGAUUGGGUUCGUUUUCCCAUGCUCUGCUCCAGAUGCGACGCAGAAUUUCGGCACCACCUCCCCGUUGUUCUCCUGAUACACGUCUCGGCAAUAAGUAGAGAGGAUGUGUACCCGGAGAACAACAGGGAGGCACUGACGAAAUUCUGCAUCGGAUCCAGAGCACAGCAUAUGGGAAAGUGAACCCAAUCUACACAUACUCGGGCUGUCCAUGGAUAAUGUUGGACAAUUCAAAAGGAUGGCAGUUAUAAAUAUGCAAAGAAAUGCAUAUUUAUAGAUGUCGCCCGUUCGUACGGGAGACGCAUACUGGUCACGCAUACUCAUGAUUGAACAAACCUAUAGCUAGCAAGUUUCAUCGGCACGAAGACCGGGACAGAGCAAAUUAAGGGGGUAGGAGGAGAAGUCAUUUGUGCUCACCAACAAACGCAGGGGGAGCUCGUCCAACGCACGUGGAGGUCGUCGAACAACUGUACAUUGAAAUUCACACGAUCAACACAAAUAUGAUGUUUUUAUAAUUAACAUAACUAGAAAAUAUGUGAACUAACUCAUAAUUAACAAAACUAUGACCCGGUGGGCCUCUAGAAGGCCGAAAAGCACCUUCUCGUUCAACACUAAGUAGAAGAGGUGUCGGGGGUUGGGGCUUAGUGUCGUCAAGGGUCGGUGGUGUCGGGUGUCGAUGGUCGGGAGUCGGGUUAAAUGCGUCGAUGGUCAUGGGUCAGUGUCGUCGGGGGUCGAGGGUCACUAGCGUCGGGGGUUGGGGUCUUUUCGAUCAACAAGAGGCCAAAGAGGUGUCGGGGCCCAGGGGUUGGGGGUUAGUGGCGUCGGGGGUCGGUGCCGGGGGUCGAGGGUCAGUGGCGUCGGGGGUCAGGGGUCAGUGGUGUCGGGUGUCGGGAGUCGGGNNNNNNNNNNNNNNNNNNNNNNNNNNNNNNNNNNNNNNNNNNNNNNNNNNNNNNNNNNNNNNNNNNNNNNNNNNNNNNNNNNNNNNNNNNNNNNNNNNNNGCCUCGAGCCGCCGCUGCUCGAGCCCGGCGCCGCCGCGCGGGACCUCCCCGGCUACCUCGCCGUGCUCGCCCGCCUCGAGGAGGCCCUGCGGUUCCUCUCGGCCAACUGCGGCCUCGCCGCCGAGUGGCUCGCCGACAUCGUCGAGUACCUCGGCGACCACGACCUCGCUG
This 25986-nucleotide long non-coding RNA is filed under the name Hordeum vulgare. RNAcentral describes it as "long non-coding RNA (HVUL_LNC014930)". The record is from RNAcentral. Lineage: Eukaryota; Viridiplantae; Streptophyta; Magnoliopsida; Poales; Poaceae.